Molecule: long non-coding RNA, 249 nt
Filed under: Brassica rapa (field mustard)
Lineage: Eukaryota; Viridiplantae; Streptophyta; Magnoliopsida; Brassicales; Brassicaceae
Description: long non-coding RNA (BRAP_LNC000415)
Source: RNAcentral
CCCAUUUCAACGCUUCCAGUUCUGAGUGUAAUGCUGUCUCUCGCCUUCUUAAGUUUUAUGUCCCCAUAAGUUGGAUCUUCCCCGUGUUGUCCUUCCAAACCCAUCCAAUGCUGCUGAAUUGAUCUGUGGAUGUCCAUGAACCAUCCACCAUACACAUAUUAUCCAAGCUUAAGGCUUGUGCCACUUCAACAAUUGGUGCAUGUGGGGGAGUAGGUAUAGAAUCCUUAGCAUUAUACCAAGCCUGGCACU